AGACGUCUACAUUAGAUACCCGGGUAGUCCCAGCCGUAAACUAUGCGCGUUAGGUGUAUCGGUGACCACGAGUUACCGAGGUGCCGAAGGGAAACCGUGAAACGUGCCGCCUGGGAAGUACGGUCGCAAGGCUGAAACUUAAAGGAAUUGCGGGGAGCACCACAACAGGUGGAGCCUGCGGUUUAAUUGGACUCAACGCCGGGAAGCUCACCGGAUAGGACAGCAGAAUGAUUGCCGGGCUGAAGACCCUGCAUGACUAGCUG
Molecule: ribosomal RNA, 263 nt
Filed under: uncultured archaeon
Lineage: Archaea
Description: partial 16S ribosomal RNA
Rfam family: Archaeal small subunit ribosomal RNA
Source: RNAcentral